RNAcentral lists this ribosomal RNA (460 nucleotides) under uncultured bacterium. RNAcentral's name for it is "partial 16S ribosomal RNA". It matches the Rfam family "Bacterial small subunit ribosomal RNA", at positions 338 to 795 of the family's 1533-position model. The record is from RNAcentral.
CCUACGGGAGGCAGCAGUGAGGAAUAUUGGUCAAUGGACGAGAGUCUGAACCAGCCAAGUAGCGUGAAGGAUGACUGCUCUAUGGGUUGUACACUUCUUUUAUAAAGGAAUAAAAUGAGGCACGUGUGCCUUUUUGCAUGUACUUUAUGAAUAAGGAUCGGCUAACUCCGUGCCAGCAGCCGCGGUAAUACGGAGGAUCCGAGCGUUAUCCGGAUUUAUUGGGUUUAAAGGGAGCGUAGAUGGGUUGUUAAGUCAGUUGUGAAAGUUUGCGGCUCAACCGUAAAAGUGCAAUUGAUACUGGCAGUCUUGAGUACACUUGAGGUAGGCGGAAUGCGUGGUGUAGCGGUGAAAUGCUUAGAUAUCACGAAGAACCCCGAUUGCGAAGGCAGCUUACUAACCUGUGACUGACAUUGAUGCUCGAAAGUGUGGGUAUCAAACAGGAUUAGAUACCCCAGUAGUC